This 468-nucleotide ribosomal RNA is filed under the name uncultured bacterium. RNAcentral's name for it is "partial 16S ribosomal RNA". It matches the Rfam family "Bacterial small subunit ribosomal RNA", at positions 28 to 507 of the family's 1533-position model. The record is from RNAcentral.
GACGAACGCUGGCGGCGUGCUUAACACAUGCAAGUCGAACGGAAAGGCCCUGCUUUUGUGGGGUGCUCGAGUGGCGAACGGGUGAGUAACCCGUGAGUAACCUGCCCUUGACUUUGGGAUAACUUCAGGCAACUGGGGCUAAUACCGGCUAGGAGCUCCUGCUGCAUGGUGGGGGUUGGAACGUUUCGGCGGUUGGGGAUGGACUCGCGGUUUAUCAGCUUGUUGGUGGGGUAGUGGCUUACCAAGGCUUUGACGGGUAGCCGGCAUGAGAGGGUGAACGGCGACAUUGGGACUGAGAUACGGACCAGACGGCUAUGGGAGGCAGCAGUGGGGAAUAUUGCACAAUGGGCGGAAGCCUGAUGCAGCAACGCCGCGAGCGGGAUGACGGCCUUCGGGUUGUAAACCGCUUUCGCCUGUGACGAAGCGUGAGUGACGGUAAUGGGUAAAGAAGCACCGGCUAACUACGUG